AGAUUUUAACAUGAAGUGAGUGGCGAAAGGGUGAGUAACCCGUGGGUAACCUGCCCAGAAGUAGGGGAUAACACCUGGAAACAGAUGCUAAUACCGUAUAACAGAGAAAACCGCAUGGUUUUCUUUUAAAAGAUGGCUCUGCUAUCACUUUUGGAUGGAUCCGCGGCGUAUUAGCUAGUUGGUGAGGUAAAGGCUCACCAAGGCAGUGAUACGUAGCCGACCUGAGAGGGUAAUCGGCCACAUUGGGACUGAGACACGGCCCAGACUCCUACGGGAGGCAGCAGUAGGGAAUCUUCCACAAUGGACGCAAGUCUGAUGGAGAAAGGCCGCGUGAGUGAAGAAGGGUUUCGGCUCGUAAAUAUAAGGUGUAAAGAAGAACGUGGGUAAGAGUAACUGUUACCCAGUGACGGUAUA
Molecule: ribosomal RNA, 414 nt
Filed under: uncultured bacterium
Lineage: Bacteria
Description: bacterial SSU rRNA
Rfam family: Bacterial small subunit ribosomal RNA
Source: RNAcentral